RNAcentral lists this long non-coding RNA (1967 nucleotides) under Marmota monax (woodchuck). Lineage: Eukaryota; Metazoa; Chordata; Mammalia; Rodentia; Sciuridae. The record is from RNAcentral.
ACGAGCCAGGUGCGCCGAGGCCGGAGGGGCGGGGCCGCGGGCUGUCGGGAACCCCGGUAUCCCAGAGCGGGCUGGGUCGGGCGGGUCUCUGGGACUGGAUCAGGCGGGUCUCUGGGACUGGAUGGAGACGUAGACACGAGAGGAGACGCUCCCGACUCUGGGAGCAAGGGGACGUAAAACUAAAACGUGCGCCCGCGGGAAGUCGAGGACGGAGGCGCGGUAAGGGCUUGAUCCGAGCGCGGUCGGCGGACAGCUGCGGAGGCGAAGGGUGCUUCGUACUGGACGUGGCACGCAGAACCCAGGACCGCGCUCGCCUUCACUAGUCCUCUGCUUAUUCAUUCAUUCGCAUUUUGCCCUGUGCAUGGAAGAAACCCUUUCCUCCAGCGCUCUCAGGUUCGACUCGAAUAAAGUUUCCCAACAUCACAAUUGCAGGACUUGCUGGAGCGUAUUUUAGCACACGUUUGUAUAAAUAGGUAGUAUAGAAAUACUACGUGAUAGAGCUGCACAAGAAGGAAAAGGAAGCUCGAUGUAAUGCAGAUAAAAGCAAAAUGCAUACAGGACAAAGGAGUUGUGAGGAACAAGUGCAAUGCAAAGGCCCCAAAUCCUCCACCACCAAAGAAUGUGCUUCUCUCCAAGUCCUCCCACCAGCCUCCCAGAACCGGUUUACAUACACCAAUCCACCCUCUGACCUCCGGGUUCCAACUAACCCCGGCCCAAGAAAAAAAUAAGUAAUAAAGGAAAGAGUGAAAAAAAUGGUGAGAGGAAAUUAGAAAUAUGAUGCCCAGCCGGGCAUGGUGGCGCACGCCUGUAAUCCCAGGAGCUCCGGAAACUGAGGCAGGAGGAUCGCGAGUUCAAACCCAGCCUCUGUAAUUUAGAAAUAGCCUUAUGCAACUCAGCGAGACUCUUGUCUAUUGAUAACGUAUUUACAAAAAAAAAAGGCUGGGGACGUGACAUAGUGGUUAAAUGCCCUGGGUUCAAUCCCCAGUACCAAAAACAAACAAACAUGAUGCCCAAAAGUGUAUUAAAGACUGGCAGAAUUCGAUGAUGUCAUUAAUCUCUUACCCAUUUCCUGACUCCCACCUUUGCUUCCCUUCUUCCUCUUUCAGUGCCUGAAAAUUGCCUCUCACUUCAAAAUAAAAAAGAUAAAUAUCUAAGCUAAUGAAUGUUAAUUAGCUCCAUUUAGCCAUUCCCCAACAUACAUAUAUUUCAAAACAAUAUGUUGUACACCAUAAAUAUCUACAAUUUUUGUCGAUGAAGAAAACAAACUCAAAACAGAGAAAAAUGAUUAUUUCCUACUUUGGGAAUUAAAUUUUCCUGUUUGGGAUAUUAAUUAUUAAGGAUUAGUCAAACAUUUAUAAAACUAUGCAUGCCAAUAGAGUUUCAAGGUCACAUUCCUCAAAUAUAAAGUCUCACAUCACACUGUUUAUAUGAAAGAGAAAUGUAUUAAUCAGAAUAACAGGAUGGAAAAAAAAACUUUUGUUUUCUGAGAAGUGCGAAAUACACAAAUGACACUCAUUCCAGUGUACACCCCAAGAUAAUCUGAGGAGACAUUAUCACCCUUUAUAAAUUAUAAAUAUCACAGCUGUUGAACAGAGGCUAUUUUUGUUCAUUCUUGGGGUCAUCUUUCUUGCUGACAAGAAGUAUCAUUAAAGAAUCACUUGAUCUAGCUGGCGAUUCAGAGAAAACAGUUAUUUUUAAUGCUGAACUUAUAUGUAGUUAAGGGCCACUCCUUGGGUAUUGAUUUGAGUGAGAAAACAAACUGUGUAUUCAGCUUUUGAGAUACAGAUGGAUUUUUGUCUCUUGUUCUAAUGUCCCAGUGAAAGAUGUUCAAAAGUCUUUAAGUUAGAAUGCUUUGGGGGCAUGUAUGAUUUUGUCCAAGAGAACUCAAAUACUAUGUAUAAUUAUAAUACUCUAAUAAAAAUAAUAAUAAAUUAGAAUGCUUUCUUUUCUUUAGAAUUUAAUCUUUA